UAUGUGAUCGUCUCUCGCAUAUCAAUAAGCGGAGGAAAAGGAACUAACAAGGAUUCCCCUAGUAACGGCGAGUGAAGCGGGAAGAGCUCAAAUUUGAAAUCUUAAAGGGUUUCCCUUUACGAAUUGUAGUUUAAAGAAGUGUUUUCUGUUGAGGUUUUGGUAAAAGUUCUUUGGAAUAGGACAUCAUAGAGGGUGAGAAUCCCGUAUUUGACCUUUACUUUCAACUUUGUGAUACACUUUCAAAGAGUCGGAUUGUUUGGGAAUGCAGUCCAAAAUGGGUGGUAAAUUUCAUCUAGAGCUAAAUAUUGGCGAGAGACCGAUAGCGAACAAGUACCGUGAGGGAAAGAUGAAAAGAACUUUGAAAAGAGAGUUAAACAGUACGUGAAAUUGUCAAAAGGGAAGCGUUUGACACCAGUGUUGUUUUUCUGAAAAUCAAUUAAAGAACUGUUUAUGCUAAGCUGUUUAGACUUUAUCAGCUAACUGUUUAGUUUUGAGCUUUUCUUUAAUGCACUUUUCAGUUAACAAGUCAACAUCAAUUUCUUUUGCUGUAAAAAAGCUUGAGGAAGGUGGCUUGAGAUUCGUCUUAAGUGUUUAUAGCCUCUUGCCUAUGCAGUCGGAGAGAUUGAGGUCUGCAGCGUAGAUCCUUCGGGGCUAAAUGCAUUUGUGCUAAGUUAUAAGCAUUUUAUAGACAACUUGUUGACUAUGAUUUGUCUUGUAGCUUACUCGCUUAUGUUAUUUUACCUACGCUUAGGAUGUUGAGUAGCGACAUACGCAC
This 775-nucleotide ribosomal RNA is filed under the name uncultured Neocallimastigales. RNAcentral's name for it is "partial large subunit ribosomal RNA". It matches the Rfam family "Eukaryotic large subunit ribosomal RNA", at positions 24 to 649 of the family's 3401-position model. The record is from RNAcentral. Lineage: Eukaryota; Fungi; Neocallimastigomycota; Neocallimastigomycetes; Neocallimastigales.